This 394-nucleotide ribosomal RNA is filed under the name uncultured bacterium. Its description in RNAcentral is "partial 16S ribosomal RNA". It matches the Rfam family "Bacterial small subunit ribosomal RNA", at positions 523 to 918 of the family's 1533-position model. The record is from RNAcentral.
AUACGUAGGGGGCUAGCGUUAUCCGGAAUUACUGGGCGUAAAGGGUGCGUAGGUGGUUUCUUAAGUCAGCGGUGAAAGGCUACGGCUCAACCGUAGUAAGCUUUUGAAACUAAGAGACUUGAGUGCAGGAGAGGAGAGUAGAAUUCCUAGUGUAGCGGUGAAAUGCGUAGAUAUUAGGAGGAAUACCAGUUGCGAAGGCGGCUCUCUGGACUGUAACUGACACUGAGGCACGAAAGCGUGGGGAGCAAACAGGAUUAGAUACCCUGGUAGUCCACGCCGUAAACGAUGAGUACUAGCUGUCGGGGGUUACCCCCCUCGGUGGCGCAGCUAACGCAUUAAGUACUCCGCCUGGGAAGUACGCUCGCAAGAGUGAAACUCAAAUGAAUUGGCGGGG